RNAcentral lists this transfer RNA (72 nucleotides) under Camelus bactrianus (Bactrian camel). It matches the Rfam family "tRNA". Rfam says of the family: Transfer RNA (tRNA) molecules are approximately 80 nucleotides in length. Their secondary structure includes four short double-helical elements and three loops (D, anti-codon, and T loops). RNAcentral also lists the same sequence under 2 other names. The record is from Rfam by way of RNAcentral. Lineage: Eukaryota; Metazoa; Chordata; Mammalia; Artiodactyla; Camelidae.
GAAGGUAUGAUUCAGUGGGAGAGUGCAUGCUUAGCAUGCACAAGGUCCUGGGUUCAAUUCCCCGUACCUCCA